GACGAACGCUGGCGGCGUGCUUAACACAUGCAAGUCGAACGGUGAAGCGCCUUCCUUUUUGGUGGGUGUGGAUGAGUGGCGAACGGGUGAGUAACACGUGAGUAACCUGCCCCCUUCUUCUGGAUAACCGCAUGAAAGUGUGGCUAAUACGGGAUAUUCUGGGUCUGUCGCAUGAUGGGUCUGGGAAAGAUAUUGUUUCGGUGGGGGAUGGGCUCGCGGCCUAUCAGCUUGUUGGUGGGGUGAUGGCCUACCAAGGCGGUGACGGGUAGCCGGCCUGAGAGGGUGGACGGUCACAGUGGGACGGAGACACGGCCCAGACCCCUACGGGGGGGAGGAGGGGGGAAUAUUGCAAAAUGGGGGGAAGCCGGAUGCAGGGCCGCCGGGGGGGGGAGGGGGGCCUUCGGGUUGGGAACCUCUUUCGCCAGUGAAGCAGGCCUGCCUUGUUUGUGGGGGGGUGGAGGGUAGUGGGAAAAGAAGCCCCGGCUAACUACGG
This 493-nucleotide ribosomal RNA is filed under the name uncultured bacterium. Its description in RNAcentral is "partial 16S ribosomal RNA". It matches the Rfam family "Bacterial small subunit ribosomal RNA", at positions 28 to 506 of the family's 1533-position model. The record is from RNAcentral.